GAUGAACGCUGGCGGCGUGCCUAAUACAUGCAAGUCGAGCGAACAGACGAGGAGCUUGCUCCUCUGACGUUAGCGGCGGACGGGUGAGUAACACGUGGAUAACCUACCUAUAAGACUGGGAUAACUUCGGGAAACCGGAGCUAAUACCGGAUAAUAUAUUGAACCGCAUGGUUCAUUAGUGAAAGACGGUUUUGCUGUCACUUAUAGAUGGAUCCGCGCCGCAUUAGCUAGUUGGUAAGGUAACGGCUUACCAAGGCAACGAUGCGUAGCCGACCUGAGAGGGUGAUCGGCCACACUGGAGCUGAGACAGGGUCCAGACUCCUACGGGAGGCAGCAGUAGGGAAUCUGACGCAGUGGGCGAAAGCCUGACGGAGCGACGCCGCGUGAGUGAUGAAGGUGUUCGGAUCGUAAAACUCUGUUAUGAGGGAAAAACAACUGUGUAAGUAACUGUGCACGUCUUGACGGUACCUAAUCAGAAAGCAACGGCUAACUACGUG
Molecule: ribosomal RNA, 497 nt
Filed under: uncultured bacterium
Lineage: Bacteria
Description: partial 16S ribosomal RNA
Rfam family: Bacterial small subunit ribosomal RNA
Source: RNAcentral